This 510-nucleotide ribosomal RNA is filed under the name uncultured bacterium. RNAcentral's name for it is "partial 16S ribosomal RNA". It matches the Rfam family "Bacterial small subunit ribosomal RNA", at positions 28 to 507 of the family's 1533-position model. The record is from RNAcentral.
GACGAACGCUGGCGGCGUGCUUAACACAUGCAAGUCGAACGAAGAGCGACGGAAGCUUGCUUCUAUCAAUCUUAGUGGCGAACGGGUAAGUAACGCGUAAUCAACCUGCCCUUCAGAGGGGGACAACAGUUGGAAACGACUGCUAAUACCGCAUACGAUCUAAUCUCGGCAUCGAGGAUGGAUGAAAGGUGGCCUCUACAUGUAAGCUAUCACUGAAGGAGGGGAUUGCGUCUGAUUAGCUAGUUGGAGGGGUAACGGCCCACCAAGGCGAUGAUCAGUAGCCGGUCUGAGAGGAUGAACGGCCACAUUGGGACUGAGACACGGCCCAGACUCCUACGGGAGGCAGCAGUGGGGAAUCUUCCGCAAUGGACGAAAGUCUGACGGAGCAACGCCGCGUGAGUGAUGACGGCCUUCGGGUUGUAAAGCUCUGUUAAUCGGGACGAAAGGCCUUCUUGCGAAUAGUGAGAAGGAUUGACGGUACCGGAAUAGAAAGCCACGGCUAACUACGUG